GUGCACAAACUCCAUCCCCUCUAGCAUAGCUAGGGUUUCUGCUUGGAGUGCAGAUUGCACUCUCACUUGGCAUGCAAAUCCUCCUAAGAAAACACCGGCGGCAUCUCUACAGACUCCGGCGAUUGCUCCGGUGGAUGUGCCCUCACGAAACCCUCCAUCUACAUUUCUUUUCAGCGACUUCGAGGCAGGGGGACUCCACUUCGUAGCAGAGGGCUUCGGUGACUGCUCUAUCCGGAUCCGGUGGUUUCUUUCGGAAGAUAGCCCCAUUCCUCUCUUUCCACACUACCCAGAGCAUUUCGGCGACUAGUUCGAGGGGUGGUGUGUCUGGGACAAAGCAAAAAUAAAUGCUCUGCUGUUUCGGGCUUCAUUUUGCACAGAUGACACGUCGGUGCAGGUAUGAUUUUCCG
This is a long non-coding RNA of Eucalyptus grandis, 407 nucleotides long. RefSeq lists it as uncharacterized. The record is from RefSeq and is a predicted model, not a curated record. The transcript is spliced from 3 exons. NCBI's taxonomy places the organism in Eukaryota, Viridiplantae, Streptophyta, Magnoliopsida, Myrtales, Myrtaceae.